GAACGGUACCAGCGGAAGCUUGCUUCCGCCUGACGAGUGGCGGACGGGUGAGUAACACGUAGGAAUCUACCUACUAGUGGGGGACAACCCGGGGAAACCCGGGCUAAUACCGCAUAAGCUCGUAAGAGGAAAGCAGCAAUGCGCUGGAAGAGGAGCCCGCGUCGGAUUAGGUAGUUGGUAGGGUAACGGCCUACCAAGCCUACGAUCCGUAGCUGGUCUGAGAGGAUGAUCAGCCACACUGGGACUGAGAUACGGCCCAGACUCCUACGGGAGGCAGCAGUGGGGAAUAUUGGACAAUGGGGGCAACCCUGAUGCAGCGACGCCGCGUGAGUGAUGAAGCCCUUCGGGGUGUAAAGCUCUUUCGA
RNAcentral lists this ribosomal RNA (365 nucleotides) under uncultured Alphaproteobacteria bacterium. RNAcentral describes it as "bacterial SSU rRNA". It matches the Rfam family "Bacterial small subunit ribosomal RNA", at positions 64 to 439 of the family's 1533-position model. The record is from RNAcentral. Lineage: Bacteria; Pseudomonadati; Pseudomonadota; Alphaproteobacteria.